AUCAACUUUCGAUGGUAGGAUAGAGGCCUACCAUGGUGGUAACGGGUAACGGGGUGUUAGGGCACGACACCGGAGAGGGAGCCUGAGAAACGGCUACCACAUCCAAGGAUGGCAGCAGGCGCGCAAAUUACCCAAUCCCGACACGGGGAGGUAGUGACAAUAAAUAACAAUACGAGGUUCUUUCGGAUUUCGUAAUUGGAAUGAGUACAAUUUAAAUCUCUUAACGAGGAACAAUUGGAGGGCAAGUCUGGUGCCAGCAGCCGCGGUAAUUCCAGCUCCAAUAGCGUAUAUUAAAGUUGUUGCAGUUAAAAAGCUCGUAGUUGAAUCUUGGGCCUGGCUGGGUGGUCUUGCCGAAAGGUAAGUACUGCUUUGGUCGGGUCUUUCCUUCUAGGGAACUAGCGUGCCCUUAAUUGGGUGCGUUAGGGAUCUAGGACUUUUACUUUGAAAAAAUUAGAGUGUUUAAAGCAGGCUCACGCUUGAAUACAUUAGCAUGGAAUAAUGAAAUAGGACGUUUGAUUCUAUUUUGUUGGUUUCUAGGAUCGACGUAAUGAUUAAUAGGGAUAGUUGGGGGCAUUAGUAUUCAAUUGUCAGAGGUGAAAUUCUUGGAUUUAUUGAAGACUAACUACUGCGAAAGCAUUUGCCAAGGAUGUUUUCAUUAAUCAAGAACGAAAGUUAGGGGAUCGAAGACGAUCAGAUACCGUCGUAGUCUUAACAUAAACUAUGCCGACUAGGGAUCGGAUGAUGUUAAUUUUUUAAUGACUCAUUCGGCGCCUUACGGGAAACCAAAGUGUUUGGGUUC
This 799-nucleotide ribosomal RNA is filed under the name uncultured Glomus. Its description in RNAcentral is "bacterial SSU rRNA". It matches the Rfam family "Eukaryotic small subunit ribosomal RNA", at positions 314 to 1114 of the family's 1831-position model. Lineage: Eukaryota; Fungi; Glomeromycota; Glomeromycetes; Glomerales; Glomeraceae. The record is from RNAcentral.